CAUUGAACGCAAGAAACAAAAGUUCACACACGCUAGUAAACAAAAUACAAGAUUGGGGUGGGGGGAUUUUUUUCGCAGGAAAUGGACGCCGUCGAGAAGAUGAAGUCAGUGUUUGAACACUUGAAGACGCAGAUCUACGAGUGAGUUUAAUUUCACCCAUAUCCCUCAAUCUAAGCCACUUUCUAAAAUCCCUCAAUCUUCAUCUCCCUCAAUCUAAGUAUCUUCUUCCCACACCGUUCUCUUCUCCCUCUUCAAAGCGACAGUUCAUCUUCUCUUGGGAAACAGCCUAUUUUAGAUCUGACCCGCUCCAAAACGCCGUUCGCACGAGGCCGACACGCUACCAAGGUUGGGUUUUUUUUUUCUUUUCCUUUUCUUUUAACAAUCGAAAUCAAAAUUUAACUAAAGGAGAAGGGGAAGGAAUCGAUGGGGGUUUUGGGAGACAAGAGUAGCUGGUGCUUCUGCUCCGGCGGCGGUAAAUCGGAGAGAGUCAAGGGGAGCAUAUUUUCCGGCAAGUCGCCGGCGAUGGCUGAAAUCUCUGGCGGAUGAAAUGAGUCCUCAUUCACCGGAGUCUUCUGCUCACUACGCAUACUAACAUCCCGUCGGUGGCGGUGGCGGAGACCGCGGAGGUUCGAAUCAAUCGCCGCCGAGAUUUGGCUUGCUUAGUACCUCUCAGAGAGGAAGAACAAAGAGGCCGAGAAGGGCACAGGCAGCAAAUAAAAAGUGAAAGAAACAGGACAUUCUUAUGUGCCAUCGGUCUUCCGCUACCCCUAAAUUCUCUCUUUUUUGGUACUAAUGAACAUUAGAUGAUAUCACUCGAGACAAUGAAACUAACGAAUAUCAUGUGACAUAGGAUACUAAUAGAAGUCUCUUAUAUGCAUGCAAUGAUGUGAGGUGAAUCUUAGUCAGUCAAGUGUGGCUAUGAGGCUCGGAUUUUGUCUGAAAUACCAAGAUUCCCUUCAUUUAGAUAUAUUCUUCAAAAUUGCUAAAUCUUCAUUAUGGAAAAGUGAGUUUUGUUUUCAACUAUCUCUGACUCUUUAGCAGAUUUAUUGUCUAUAAACGGAGUCUGGGACAUAUUGGGUUAGUUUGUAAUCAGUGUAAGAAAUUUAAGUUUUGCCAAAAGUAAGUUUCUCCUAGCAAUCCAUAGCUUACUGUUGAUGCAAAAUUUUAGUGUUUUAAAUGUUCAAUUGCAUGGCAACUAAUUUAUAUUAAGAGAACCUGCAUGUUAGUUUAUGCAAAAUUUUAGGGAUUUUUUAAUGUUAAUCUUAUUAUUUUCUUUUAAUUGGAAUU
Asparagus officinalis (garden asparagus) is the source of this 1287-nucleotide long non-coding RNA. RefSeq lists it as uncharacterized. NCBI's taxonomy places the organism in Eukaryota, Viridiplantae, Streptophyta, Magnoliopsida, Asparagales, Asparagaceae. The transcript is spliced from 3 exons. The record is from RefSeq and is a predicted model, not a curated record.